GCCGAGGUGGUGGAACGGUAGACACCGGAGACUUAAAAUCUCCUGACUGAAUUAAGUCGUGCGGGUUCGAUUCCCGCCCUCGGCA
This 85-nucleotide transfer RNA is filed under the name Candidatus Moraniibacteriota bacterium. RNAcentral's name for it is "tRNA-Leu". It matches the Rfam family "tRNA". Rfam says of the family: Transfer RNA (tRNA) molecules are approximately 80 nucleotides in length. Their secondary structure includes four short double-helical elements and three loops (D, anti-codon, and T loops). Lineage: Bacteria; Candidatus Moraniibacteriota. The record is from RNAcentral.